RNAcentral lists this ribosomal RNA (1397 nucleotides) under uncultured bacterium. Its description in RNAcentral is "bacterial SSU rRNA". It matches the Rfam family "Bacterial small subunit ribosomal RNA". The record is from RNAcentral.
AGAGUUUGAUCCUGGCUCAGGACGAACGCUGGCGGCGUGCCUAACAUAUGCAAGUCGAACGGAGUAAGGCCCUUCGGGACCUUACUUAGUGGCGAACGGGUGAGUAACGCGUGAGGAACCUGCCUUUCAGUGGGGGACAACAGUUGGAAACGACUGCUAAUACCGCAUAAUGCUUUUGAGUGGCAUCACUUAAAAGUCAAAGAUUUAUUGCUGAAAGAUGGCCUCGCGUCUGAUUAGCUAGUUGGCGGGGUAACGGCCCACCAAGGCGACGAUCAGUAGCCGGUCUGAGAGGAUGAACGGCCACAUUGGGACUGAGAUACGGCCCAGACUCCUACGGGAGGCAGCAGUGGGGAAUAUUGGGCAAUGGGGGAAACCCUGACCCAGCAACGCCGCGUGAAGGAAGAAGGCCUUCGGGUUGUAAACUUCUUUUACCAGGGGCGAAAGAAAUGACGGUACCUGGAGAAAAAGCAACGGCUAACUACGUGCCAGCAGCCGCGGUAAUACGUAGGUUGCGAGCGUUGUCCGGAUUUACUGGGUGUAAAGGGCGUGUAGGCGGAGAUGCAAGUUGGGAGUGAAAUCCAUGGGCUCAACCCAUGAACUGCUUCCAAAACUGUAUCCCUUGAGUAUCGGAGAGGCAAGCGGAAUUCCUAGUGUAGCGGUGAAAUGCGUAGAUAUUAGGAGGAACACCAGUGGCGAAGGCGGCUUGCUGGACGACAACUGACGCUGAGGCGCGAAAGCGUGGGGAGCAAACAGGAUUAGAUACCCUGGUAGUCCACGCUGUAAACGAUGAAUACUAGGGUGUGGGAGGACUGACCCCUUCCCGUGCCGCAGUUAACACAAUAAGUAUUCCACCUGGGGGAGUACGACCCGCAAGGUUGAAACUCCAAAGGAAUUGAACGGGGGCCCGCACAAGCAGUGGGAUUAAUGUGGGUUUAAUUCGACGCCACCGCGAAGAACCUUUCCAGGACUUGGCUUCCAACUAACCAAAGUAAAGAAACAUUAAGUGGCCCUCUCGGGGAAAAUUAAAACAAGGGGGGGCAGGGGUGUCCUCCCCUCCCGGCCGGGGAGAAUUGUGGUUAAUUCCCCCCACCAAGGGGAACCCCCUCUUUGGUAUGUGGUCCGAAAAAGACUCUUUCUGAAAUUGCCUUUGUCAAAAACGAGGGAAGGGGGGGACACGGCCCAAUAAAAAAUGGCCCCUUAUGUCUGGGGUGCACCCCCAUUAAAAAAUGGGGGGAAAAAAAGAGGGAACGGAACCCCGCGGCGGGAGGAAAACCUUAAAAGCCAUCUCAGUUCGGAUUGCAGGCUGCAACUCGCCUGCAUGAAGCUGGAAUUGCUAGUAAUCGCGGAUCAGAAUGCCGCGGUGAAUACGUUCCCGGGCCUUGUACACACCGCCCGUC